RNAcentral lists this ribosomal RNA (237 nucleotides) under uncultured bacterium. RNAcentral describes it as "partial 16S ribosomal RNA". It matches the Rfam family "Bacterial small subunit ribosomal RNA", at positions 99 to 334 of the family's 1533-position model. The record is from RNAcentral.
CGAACGGGUGAGUAACGCGUGAGGAACCUGCCUCAAAGGGGGGACGAACAGUUGGAAACGGCUGCUAAUACCGCAUAAGCCCACGGCUCGGCAUCGAGCAGAGGGAAAAGGAGCAAUCCGCUUUGAGAUGGCCUCGCGUCCGAUUAGCUAGUUGGUGAGGUAAUGGCCCACCAAGGCAACGAUCGGUAGCCGGACUGAGAGGUUGAACGGCCACAUUGGGACUGAGACACGGCCCAG